RNAcentral lists this ribosomal RNA (253 nucleotides) under uncultured bacterium. Its description in RNAcentral is "partial 16S ribosomal RNA". It matches the Rfam family "Bacterial small subunit ribosomal RNA", at positions 524 to 776 of the family's 1533-position model. The record is from RNAcentral.
UACGAAGGGAGCUAGCGUUGUUCGGAAUCACUGGGCGUAAAGCGCACGUAGGCGGACCUGCAAGUCGGGGGUGAAAGCCCGAGGCUCAACCUCGGAACUGCCUUCGAUACUGCGGGUCUCGAGUCCGGGAGAGGUGAGUGGAAUUCCUAGUGUAGAGGUGAAAUUCGUAGAUAUUAGGAAGAACACCAGUGGCGAAGGCGGCUCACUGGCCCGGUACUGACGCUGAGGCGCGAAAGCGUGGGGAGCAAACAGG